GCUUGGCCCUAAAUCUAGAUGUUCCCUCUACCAAAACAUCCGCCCGAGAACUACGAGCACAAACGCUUAAAACUCUAAGGACUUGGCGGUGCUCCAAACCCACCUAGAGGAGCCUGUUCUGUAAUCGAUAACCCACGAUACACCCAACCUCUCCUUGCCCAAAGCAGCCUACAUACCGCCGUCCCCAGCUCACCUUCUCUGAGAGCUCAACAGUGAGCACAACAACACCCCCCCCCGCUAAUAAGACAGGUCAAGGUAUAGCCUAUGGAGAGGAAGAAAUGGGCUACAUUCUCUAAGAUAGAGUACUGACGAAAAGGGGCCUGAAAUAGCCCCUAGAAGGAGGAUUUAGUAGUAAAGGGGGGUAAGAAUACCCCCUUAAACUCGGCCCUGGAGCACGUACAUACCGCCCGUCACCCUCCUCACAACUACUAAACACCCGUAAUUUUAACCCAAACCGAAAAGUUAAAAGAUGAGGUAAGUCGUAACAAGGUAAGUGUACCGGAAGGUGCACUUAGCACCAAGACGUAGCUAUAAUUCCA
Molecule: ribosomal RNA, 539 nt
Filed under: Hypotaenidia philippensis sethsmithi
Lineage: Eukaryota; Metazoa; Chordata; Aves; Gruiformes; Rallidae
Description: Gallirallus philippensis sethsmithi partial 12S ribosomal RNA
Rfam family: Bacterial small subunit ribosomal RNA
Source: RNAcentral